Molecule: non-coding RNA, 27 nt
Filed under: Rattus norvegicus (Norway rat)
Lineage: Eukaryota; Metazoa; Chordata; Mammalia; Rodentia; Muridae
Source: RNAcentral
UUCUAGGGAAGCCUAGCUACUUGAAGC